Molecule: ribosomal RNA, 497 nt
Filed under: uncultured bacterium
Lineage: Bacteria
Description: partial 16S ribosomal RNA
Rfam family: Bacterial small subunit ribosomal RNA
Source: RNAcentral
GAUGAACGCUGGCGGCGUGCCCAAUACAUGCAAGUCGAGCGAACGGGCGAGAAGCUUGCUUCUCUGAUGUUAGCGGCGGACGGGUGAGUAACACGUGGAUAACCUACCUAUAAGACUGGGAUAACUUCGGGAAACCGGAGCUAAUACCGGAUAAUAUUUUGAACCGCAUGGUUCAAAAGUGAAAGACGGUCUUGCUGUCACUUAUAGAUGGAUCCGCGCUGCAUUAGCUAGUUGGUAAGGUAACGGCUUACCAAGGCAACGAUGCAUAGCCGACCUGAGAGGGUGAUCGGCCACACUGGAACUGAGACACGGUCCAGACUCCUACGGGAGGCAGCAGUAGGGAAUCUUCCGCAAUGGGCGAAAGCCUGACGGAGCAACGCCGCGUGAGUGAUGAAGGUCUUCGGAUCGUAAAACUCUGUUACUAGGGAAGAACAUAUGUGUAAGUAACUGUGCACAUCUUGACGGUACCUAAUCAGAAAGCCACGGCUAACUACGUG